GUGGGGAAUCUUCCGCAAUGGACGAAAGUCUGACGGAGCGACGCCGCGUGAGUGAUGAAGGCCUUCGGGUCGUAAAGCUCUGUCAUCGGGGACGAAUGGUCGUAGGAGUGGAAAGCCAGCGAAAUGACGGUACCCGAGAAGGAAGCCACGGCUAACUACGUGCCAGCAGCCGCGGUAAUACGUAGGUGGCAAGAGUUGUCCGGAAUUAUUGGGCGUAAAGCGCGCGCAGGUGGGAUCUGAAGUCCAUUUUGAAAGUUCGGAGCUCAACUCCGUGAUGGGAUGGAAACUGGGAUUCUUGAGUACCGGAGAGGAAAGCGGAAUUCCCCGUGUAGCGGUGAAAUGCGUAGAUAUGAGGAGGAACACCAGUGGCGAAGGCGGCUUUCUGGACGGUGUCUGACACUGAGGCGCGAAAGCCAGGGGAGCGAACGGGAUUAGAUACCCUUGUAGUCC
This 450-nucleotide ribosomal RNA is filed under the name uncultured bacterium. RNAcentral's name for it is "partial 16S ribosomal RNA". It matches the Rfam family "Bacterial small subunit ribosomal RNA", at positions 354 to 796 of the family's 1533-position model. The record is from RNAcentral.